GCAUAUCCUAUAAGCGGAGGAAAAGAAACCAACAGGGAUUGCCCUAGUAACGGCGAGUGAAGCGGCAACAGCUCAAAUUUGAAAUCUGGCUUCGGCCCGAGUUGUAAUUUGUAGAGGAUGCUUUGGGCGCGGCUCUAACUGAGUUCCCUGGAACGGGACGCCACAGAGGGUGAGAGCCCCGUAUAGUUAGAUGCCUAGCCUAUGUAAAGCUCCUUCGACGAGUCGAGUAGUUUGGGAAUGCUGCUCUAAAUGGGAGGUAAAUUUCUUCUAAAGCUAAAUAUUGGCCAGAGACCGAUAGCGCACAAGUAGAGUGAUCGAAAGAUGAAAAGCACUUUGAAAAGAGGGUUAAAUAGCACGUGAAAUUGUUGAAAGGGAAGCGCUUGUGACCAGACUUGCGCCGGGCAGAUCAUCCGGUGUUCUCACCGGUGCACUCUGCCCGGCUCAGGCCAGCAUCGGUUCUCGUGGGGGGAUAAAGGUCCCGGGAACGUAGCUCCUCCGGGAGUGUUAUAGCCCGGGGCGUAAUGCCCUCGUGGGGACCGAGGUUCGCGCAUCUGCAAGGAUGCUGGCGUAAUGGUCAUCAGCGACCCGUCUUG
This 593-nucleotide ribosomal RNA is filed under the name Trichocladium griseum. RNAcentral describes it as "partial 28S ribosomal RNA". It matches the Rfam family "Eukaryotic large subunit ribosomal RNA", at positions 38 to 656 of the family's 3401-position model. The record is from RNAcentral. Lineage: Eukaryota; Fungi; Ascomycota; Sordariomycetes; Sordariales; Chaetomiaceae.